GACGGAGGAUGCAAGCGUUAUCCGGAAUGAUUGGGCGUAAAGCGUUCGCAGGUGGCUGUUCAAGUCUGCUGUCAAAGACCGGGGCUUAACCCUAGAAAGGCAGUGGAAACUGAACGGCUGGAGUGCAGUAGGGGUAGAGGGAAUUCCCAGUGUAGCGGUGAAAUGCGUAGAUAUUGGGAAGAACACCGGUGGCGAAAGCGCUCUGCUGGACUGCAACUGACAAUGAGGGACGAAAGAUAGGGGAGCGAAAGGG
Molecule: ribosomal RNA, 253 nt
Filed under: uncultured bacterium
Lineage: Bacteria
Description: partial 16S ribosomal RNA
Rfam family: Bacterial small subunit ribosomal RNA
Source: RNAcentral